UACGAUGCAGUCGAGCGGGGAAGGUAGCUUGCUACUGGACCUAGCGGCGGACGGGUGAGUAAUGCUUAGGAAUCUGCCUAUUAGUGGGGGACAACAUCUCGAAAGGGAUGCUAAUACCGCAUACGUCCUACGGGAGAAAGCAGGGGAUCUUCGGACCUUGCGCUAAUAGAUGAGCCUAAGUCGGAUUAGCUAGUUGGUGGGGUAAAGGCCUACCAAGGCGACGAUCUGUAGCGGGUCUGAGAGGAUGAUCCGCCACACUGGGACUGAGACACGGCCCAGACUCCUACGGGAGGCAGCAGUGGGGAAUAUUGGACAAUGGGGGGAACCCUGAUCCAGCCAUGCCGCGUGUGUGAAGAAGGCCUUAUGGUUGUAAAGCACUUUAAGCGAGGAGGAGGCUACUUUAGUUAAUACCUAGGGAUAGUGGACGUUACUCGCAAAAUAAGCACCGGCUAACUCUGUGCCAGCAGCCGCGGUAAUACAGAGGGUGCGAGCGUUAAUCGGAUUUACUGGGCGUAAAGCGUGCGUAGGCGGCUUAUUAAGUCGGAUGUGAAAUCCCCGAGCUUAACUUGGGAAUUGCAUUCGAUACUGGUGAGCUAGAGUAUGGGAGAGGAUGGUAGAAUUCCAGGUGUAGCGGUGAAAUGCGUAGAGAUCUGGAGGAAUACCGAUGGCGAAGGCAGCCAUCUGGCCUUAUACUGACGCUGAGGUACGAAAGCAUGGGGAGCAAACAGGAUUAGAUACCCUGGUAGUCCAUGCCGUAAA
RNAcentral lists this ribosomal RNA (759 nucleotides) under Acinetobacter baumannii. RNAcentral's name for it is "bacterial SSU rRNA". It matches the Rfam family "Bacterial small subunit ribosomal RNA", at positions 52 to 806 of the family's 1533-position model. The record is from RNAcentral. Lineage: Bacteria; Pseudomonadati; Pseudomonadota; Gammaproteobacteria; Moraxellales; Moraxellaceae.